ACUGCUCAGUAACACGUAGUCAACAUGCCCAGGGGACGUGGAUAACCUCGGGAAACUGAGGAUAAACCACGAUAAGUCACUACUUCUGGAAUGGGUAAUGACUCAAAUCUACAUGGCCCCUGGAUUGGACUGCGGCCGAUCAGGCCGUUGGUGAGGUAAUGGCCCACCAAACCUGUAACCGGUACGGGCUCUGAGAGGAGGAGUCCGGAGAUGGGCACUGAGACAAGGGCCCGGGCCCUAUGGGGCGCAGCAGGCGCGAAACCUCUGCAAUAGGCGAAAGCCUGACAGGGUUACUCUGAGUGAUUUCCGUUAAGGAGAUCUUUUGGCACCUCUAAAAAUGGUGCAGAAUAAGGGGUGGGCAAGUCUGGUGUCAGCCGCCGCGGUAAUACCAGCACCCCGAGUGGUCGGGACGUUUAUUGGGCCUAAAGCAUCCGUAGCCGGUUCUACAAGUCUUCCGUUAAAUCCACCUGCUUAACAGAUGGGCUGCGGAAGAUACUAUAGAGCUAGGAGGCGGGAGAGGCAAGCGGUACUCGAUGGGUAGGGGUAAAAUCCGUUGAUCCAUUGAAGACCACCAGUGGCGAAGGCGGCUUGCCAGAACGCGCUCGACGGUGAGGGAUGAAAGCCGGGGGAGCAAACCGGAUUAGAUACCCGGGUAGUCCCAGCUGUAAACGAUGCAGACUCGGUGAUGAGUUGGCUUUAUGCCAACUCAGUGCCGCAGGGAAGCCGUUAAGUUUGCCGCCUGGGGAGUACGGUCGCAAGACUGAAACUUAAAGGAAUUGGCGGGGGAGCAC
This 791-nucleotide ribosomal RNA is filed under the name uncultured archaeon. RNAcentral's name for it is "bacterial SSU rRNA". It matches the Rfam family "Archaeal small subunit ribosomal RNA", at positions 85 to 879 of the family's 1478-position model. The record is from RNAcentral.